This 253-nucleotide ribosomal RNA is filed under the name uncultured Alistipes sp. RNAcentral describes it as "partial 16S ribosomal RNA". It matches the Rfam family "Bacterial small subunit ribosomal RNA", at positions 524 to 776 of the family's 1533-position model. The record is from RNAcentral. Lineage: Bacteria; Pseudomonadati; Bacteroidota; Bacteroidia; Bacteroidales; Rikenellaceae.
UACGGAGGAUCCAAGCGUUAUCCGGAUUUAUUGGGUUUAAAGGGUGCGUAGGCGGCCUGUUAAGUUAGAGGUGAAAUCCCGUGGCUCAACCACGGAACUGCCUCUGAUACUGGCAGGCUAGAGAGUAGAUGCGGUAGGCGGAAUGUGUAGUGUAGCGGUGAAAUGCUUAGAGAUUACACAGAACACCGAUUGCGAAGGCAGCUUACCAAUCUAUAUCUGACGUUGAGGCACGAAAGCGUGGGUAGCAAACAGG